UUAUAAAUUGGUGAUACUUCAUUAUACUUUUUUAAAAUUUCAAUAUUGACAAUAUAAAAAUUGAGAAUGAAAUUUUAAAAAAGUAUAAUGAAGUAUCACCAAUUUAUAAAGAAAAUACAGCAUUAAAAAAAUGAAGAAACAGAUGAAAACAAUAAAAACGAUUAUUUAGUUAAUCAAAACAUAAUAAAUAAAAAACCAUAUAUAGAUAAUACUAAACAUAUACAAGAAUAUAAUACAAAAAAAAUAAGUUGUGAUACUAUUACUACUGCUACUACUGAAACUUAUAAUAAUAAUCAUGAAUCUAUGUCUUUUAUUAACAAUUUAUCAAAAAGUAGGAAUACAACAUAUAAUGAUUUUAUAAGUAAUUAUAAUAAUGAUGAUAUGACUUGUACAGAAAGAAAUUUAGAAGAAGCUGUAAAUAGAAGAAAUAAAAUAAAACAAAUGUUUUUAGAAUAUAAUUCGUUAAAUUUAAGUUUAUGUAGUGAUAAUUUUGAAAAUUAUGAUUUAAAAAAAAAAACAUCUUUAUAUAAAUUGGAUUCUAAUUUUGAAAAAGAGGAUGUGAAUGAAAAAAAUGAAAUAGUUUAUAAAAAAAAAAGAAACAGAAAGAGAUUAUUCAGGUAUAACUAAUAUUUUAGAUUAUAAUAGCAUAGACAACAGAAAAACAUAUUAUAAUAAUGACAUUAAUAAAAAUAGUUUUGAAGAAAAAGAAAAAAAAAAAAAAAAAAACAUUUACAACAAUAAUAAUAACAAUAAUAGUAAUAAUAAUAGUAAUAAUAAUAUAAAUAAAAAUGAUGACAAUAUAUCUGGUAAAAUAUUUAAUAAUAAGAAUAGUUAUUAUUGUUAUGAAAAUAGUAGUAAAGAUAUUAUACAACCACGAAUAAAUAAUAUAUCUUUGGAUAAUUCAAUAUUUAGUGAGAAUGAUGAUGAUAUAGACGAUUAUAAAAGUUUUAUAACAUUAGAUAGUAAUAGUAGUCUAUUUAAAACUAAACCGCUUAAAGUACCAGACAUUUCAUUUUUUGAAUUCUGCUAGUCGAACUUAUAGUAGUAAGGACUUGUCAAAUAACGUGGAUGAAAAAAAUUGCACAAACAAAAAUGGGAAAAGUAGUAGUAAUAAUUACAACAAUAAUAACGAUGAUAACAAAGAUGAUGGGAACAAAAAGGAUGGCAGUUGUGAGUAUAUAUCAAACCGAAUACUUUAUGAAAAGUUAGAAGGGUUAUCUUUUUACUGUGAUGAUGUUGAUACCACUGACGACGAUAACGAUAAUGAAAGUAGUAAUGAUGGAAUUAGUAAUAAUGUUAAUAGUAAUAAUAAUAACAACAGCAGUAAUAAUGACAACAACAAAAACAACAACAGUAACAAUAACAACAACAACAACAACAACAACAACAGCAGUAAUAAUGAUUAUGUUAGUUUUUUCUCGGAACCUACUGAAGAAAAAAGCAUCAUACCAAAAAUAGCAGAUUCCGGAGACCAAUAUGAUCAUUUGGAUAGUUCGUCUGUUGUACCUGAAGAAAGUGAUUGUAGUGGGGAUAGGUAUAAAGAGCUAACCAUAGAAAAAGAGUUAAUAAAUAAAAAAAAAAUAAAUGUAAAUAAUGAUAAUAAAAUUUGUAAUAAAUACAGUUACAGAGGUAGCAAUACAUAUAGAGAAGAUAAAAUAAAUGAAAAAAAUGAAGAAAAUGAAGAAAGUGAAGAUAGAUAUGAGCAUAUGUACAAAAAAGAUACAGAUUCAAGAAUAGAUGAAAAUACUAGUUAUACAAAAAAUAAACAACAACCAGAUGGUUUAAGUUUGUAUGACCUUGAAAGUGACCAAUCGAGAGACGAACCGAGUGAUCACGCAUGUCACACACGUUUAGACCUAACUAAUAAAUUAAAUUUAUUAAAAAAAAAUCGGACAAAUUUGAUAAUGUUGGAAAAAGGGGAGAAGAAGAAAAUGGAUUUAAAACCUCUUAUUUAAUAACAAAAAAAUUUGAGAACAAUCUUAAUAUACAUUAUGAUUCUAACACUACUACUAAUACUACCGCUAUUACUACUAAUACUACCACUAUUACUACUAAUAGUAAUAAUAAGAAUGACAGUAUUGGUAGCAGUGGUAUUGGUGUUAGCAAUAACCACCAAAUGAAUUAUGGCUUAACUUACUUUACAAACAUAAAUAUAAAUAAUAAUGAAAAUUCGAACAAAUUAGAAGAAAAAAGUUACUUUUAUAAUAAUAUAAAAAGAGAAAGUGACAUUAAUACAAAUAAUAUAUUUUUAAAUAGAAAUGAUGGUUUUAAUGUUAUUAACAAAUUUCAACAUGAUAUUUUAAAUGCUCAAUCAUUAAAAAAUGAACAAACAAAUGAACAAACAAAUGAACAAACAA
This 2357-nucleotide long non-coding RNA is filed under the name Piliocolobus tephrosceles (Ugandan red Colobus). RNAcentral's name for it is "lncRNA (ENSPTEG00000020694.1)". The record is from RNAcentral. Lineage: Eukaryota; Metazoa; Chordata; Mammalia; Primates; Cercopithecidae.